GUCCGCGUGGCCUAAUGUGAUAAGGCGCUGACUUCGAAUCAGAAGUUUGCAGGUUCGGAUCCUGCUCGCGGACG
Non-coding RNA from Trichonephila inaurata madagascariensis, 74 nucleotides. NCBI's taxonomy places the organism in Eukaryota, Metazoa, Arthropoda, Arachnida, Araneae, Nephilidae. The record is from the annotation of a GenBank genome assembly.